This 521-nucleotide ribosomal RNA is filed under the name uncultured bacterium. RNAcentral describes it as "bacterial SSU rRNA". It matches the Rfam family "Archaeal small subunit ribosomal RNA", at positions 345 to 866 of the family's 1478-position model. The record is from RNAcentral.
AACCUCCGCAAUGUGAGAAAUCGCGACGGGGGGAUCCCAAGUGCCAUUCUUAACGGGAUGGCUUUUCAUUAGUGUAAAGAGCUUUUGGAAUAAGAGCUGGGCAAGACCGGUGCCAGCCGCCGCGGUAACACCGGCAGCUCUAGUGGUAACAAUUUUUAUUGGGCCUAAAGCGUCCGUAGCCGGUUUAAUAAGUCUCUGGUGAAAUCCUGUAGCUUAACUGUGGGAAUUGCUGGAGAUACUAUUAGACUUGAGACCGGGAGAGGUUAGAGGUACUCCCAGGGUAGAGGUGAAAUUCUGUAAUCCUGGGAGGACCGCCUGUUGCGAAGGCGUCUAACUGGAACGGUUCUGACGGUGAGGGACGAAAGUUAGGGGCGCGAACCGGAUUAGAUACCCGGGUAGUCCUAACUGUAAACGAUGCGGACUUGGUGUUGGGGUGGCUUUGAGCUGCUCCAGUGCCGAAGGGAAGCUGUUAAGUCCGCCGCCUGGGAAGUACGGUCGCAAGACUGAAACUUAAAGGAAGU